UACGUAGGGUGCAAGCGUUAAUCGGAUUUACUGGGCGUAAAGCGUGCGCAGGCGGUUGUGCAAGCCAGGUGUGAAAUCCCCGGGCUCAACCUGGGAACUGCAUUUGUGACUGCACGGCUGGAGUGCGGCAGAGGGGGAUGGAAUUCCGCGUGUAGCAGUGAAAUGCGUAGAUAUGCGGAGGAACACCGAUGGCGAAGGCAAUCCCCUGGGCCUGCACUGACGCUCAUGCACGAAAGCGUGGGGAGCAAACAGG
This 253-nucleotide ribosomal RNA is filed under the name uncultured bacterium. Its description in RNAcentral is "partial 16S ribosomal RNA". It matches the Rfam family "Bacterial small subunit ribosomal RNA", at positions 524 to 776 of the family's 1533-position model. The record is from RNAcentral.